UACGUUGUCUCCGGUGACUUGAGCGUGC
RNAcentral lists this non-coding RNA (28 nucleotides) under Mus musculus (house mouse). The record is from RNAcentral. Lineage: Eukaryota; Metazoa; Chordata; Mammalia; Rodentia; Muridae.